Megalobrama amblycephala (Wuchang bream) is the source of this 5273-nucleotide long non-coding RNA. RefSeq lists it as uncharacterized. The record is from RefSeq and is a predicted model, not a curated record. The transcript is spliced from 7 exons. Lineage: Eukaryota; Metazoa; Chordata; Actinopteri; Cypriniformes; Xenocyprididae.
AUCAAUGAAAUGCAGCUCCCCGACACCAGCAGCACUCAUGCAGCCCCAUAUAUAUAUAUAUAUAUAUAUAUAUAUAUAUAUAUAUAUAUAUAAUUUAUUAGAUAUAAGUCACAUUCAAGAUCCACUUGGCUCACUAAUUUAAGGGGGCACAUGACACAGUUCGGUGGGUAGACUGUGUGUCUGCCACCAUGUGUGCGUUUUUUCAUACAUGCAAAAUGCUCGUGUGUUCAAGUGAUUGAUUAGAUGAGUGAGUAAUGUGUGUGUGAGUGUGUGUUUAACAGUUAACGCAGCAGGGAGUGGACAGAAGGGCCAAGUGUGACAGGUGGACAGGCAUGAUAAGGAGAGAGCAGUGCAGCCCAGCGCUCAGCAGAAGCAGAGCCCAGGAGAAUAUCCAGCCAAAAGCAGCUAAUAGCUGAUACUCAUCAGAGAUAGAGCCACUGAAGAUUUCCUGUCUCUGUGGAAUAGUCUGUUCAUUCAGCUCCAGCCCAAAUUCUCCUCCCUAAACAUGUACUGUAUUUUAUACAGUCGUGACAACAUGUUGUUGAUCAAGUUUUGUACAAAAGGACAAUUAAAGUUGGGACUGAUGGAACAUGCCAUGAUUUCUACAGAUUUCACACCAGUGUCUCCUUGAGUUUCAGAGAUGAUCUCAGCAACUGUUGUAACUGCAAGAACCCAACAUGAUUUCAGGUUCCGAACAGAUCUCUUUUGGUCAAAGUUCAAAGGACGAGAGCGACCCACUAAACGUGUCUUUACACUGCCGAGCCCACGCUUGUAAUUUUUGUAAUGCCCCAGGUCCCAUGAAUUCAAGCGACGGCCCUCUCUGUGAGACAAAUACAUGUACCUGAGAGAUUUUCAGGGACGAAAUGGAAAGAUAGAGAGCGAACGAGAAAAAUAAAUGCAAAUUAUGAAUCCGUUUACAAAACACCGGCAAGAGGAAGUUCACAGUCUCCAAGGCACCAGAUUACUCCAUUGAUCCGAACCCAAAAUGGCUCCAUGUCUGGCAUUUUCAGAGGCCGUUUCCAAGUCAAUGUCAUCCUAUCGGCCCCAUACUAAAAGAGACAAAUACGACUGGAAUAAGCAGGAAGCCUUUACUCUGAUGAGAGGUCUCACUUCCUGUUUAUGGAGCAACCACUGGAGCAAAACAAUAGCUGGAAUUUUGAUGGAUCGGCAGAGAGGACGCCCAACUCGCGCCCUCCAGAAAAAAAGCUUCAGUUUGUCACUAUUGCUUACAAUACAACAACACAAUCUAUUCUCAUACCAAAAAUUAAUAAUUAAAACUAUUUAUUUAUUUAUUUUGGAGUGAAUCCUCUGGACUUUUCUUACAAUUUUAGUGAGAUUCAUCCAUUUACUUUACUACAGCUCAACGACAACAAUAGCCUCUCGUGCUAUUGUACAAAGGGCUGUUUUGGCUCAAGCCUGAUCAAAAUGGUGGUGUCGAGCAUUCCCCUCGCUGAGGGAUAUGUCAUGUCGGGCUCUCUGGGAUUUGAGGUCAGUCCAGCUGGACGUCUGGUGCCAAAAUGAGGUGGAUUACACCCUUUAAUCCCAGUUACCCCAAGGAAGUGAACUAAAGCUUCCAGCGUCCUUCUCCAAACCACAGACUUCAUUCAGCUGAUGAACCUCUUUAAACAGGCUUGGUGAAGUGUGACACAACAGUGCUACUAUCACUUGUCACGAUACAAAAAAAAAACAGAUGUAAAAGAGUUUUGCCCUCGGGGGACCAGCGGCACCGACUGCCGAGAUGAAUUAUAUAUUUACACUGUAUCAUGUGACGAGUGUUAAGACUUAGAAGCCUUGUCAGGAAAAUACAUGUAGAAUACUUCUGUCAAUUCCUUAGAAUUGUCAAAAUGAGGAUGUAAAAAGUUUGGUGACAAUUUUACAAUAAGGUUGCAUAUGCAAACAUCAGUUAAUGCUACUGCUAGGCUACUACUGUUAGUUAAUGCAUUAACUAAAAGUAUAAACUUUAAUGUCAUGAAUUUAUUACGUAGAAUACUAUACAAAAUAAAUGCUGUUCGUAAACCAAACUUUUGUCUUACACUGACAUGAGAAUUUUCUGUAAAUUUAUGUAUCUUCCUACAAACAAAAGGGCUGCCUAGGCAACUAUAUUGAUAUAUUGAUUUCAGAUAUAACACUGCAAUAGCGAGACUUUUUUUAAACAAGAGUUUACUGAAGAUCCUGGAAGUAAAAGUAUGCACUUGCACUAGAAAAAUGCACAAGAAACUCAGAAACAGACUUCAACAACUUGAGAAAUUUGAACAGAAGGGAUGCACUGUAUUGGAUAUUAGAGGUUUGGCACUGAAUGCUAGCUUUAUUUUUCUCAAUAAGCGAAUUCCCUUGAGCUUGAGCUAUUAAUAAUCUCUGAGCUCUUUCUCAGAGGAACAGCUGUUGGGGAAGCUGAAAUUUGCAAAUAUUCCCAACCUAGGCUCAUUGGAAAAACAUGCCUCUAACCACAUUUUUGCAAAAACUCCAAAAAUGUACCUUUACAUAUAAUUCAUUGCAUUUUCCAGGUGAAAUGAAAACUAGUGAUAGUAAAACACUGAUAACUUUUCUUUCUGUUCACACAAAUUGUAUUUACUGAGGCAAAUUAAUGAUUAAUGAAGACCUAUAUUUUCCAUAAUUAAUACAUUUUGACAUUUGCAUCACAUAACCAGCUCUAUAGACCCUUUUAAUGUUUGUACACAAUGAUGACGUAGCAACGUAUGCGCGCACAUUUUGGCAACGAAACUAUGGUGUCAAGCUACGCGAGCGGAUUAAGCAACACAGACAGAGAAAGUUAUUUUAAAAAGUUGACUUUAUCAAAUGGUAUCCGGCUACCAGAUCCGUGUACUAUAGCGGAGUGGAUAGAAGAUGUUAGCAGAUGGCCAAAUAUACAGUGGCCACAUAUACGUAUUUAGUUGAGAAACCGAGCGUGUACACCCGAGAGAAAUUAUGAGCAUAUAAAUCAUAUAAAUCACAUCUAACACGUUAGAACCACUGGGGAACAACACCACUUCCAUUGCCAAAAUGCGCGCGCGACUAUUUGAUCACGUGGGCUGUAAAAGGGUCUAUAUGUAUGGCUUUACUGACAUAGUAAACUUGCUCAGUACCUCACCUGGUACAGCACUGCACGUGCAAUGUGGAGCAUUUGGGUAAGAGUGAAAGACAUAAGUCCUGAUAAAAGAGCUCAAAUACUUGUAGAAGCAAGCUAAAAUGGAAUUACUGCCUCAGAAUAUGCGUUUUUAUCUCACGUUUUCUUUUUGUUAACACUAUCGGUUAGUUUUAUUGUAGGAUUUAGUGUUGGUGGAAAGUUUUCAAAUGCAAUUAAACUUUUACUUCCACUCACCACGAUAUCCACAAUUUCCAAAGUAAUAAAAUGUUGUCAGAUUAAUAUUCAUAUGUUUUGGAUAAAACUGAACACAUUUUAGUGUCACACAAUGGUUAAUUAAGUUCGAAAGAGUUGUGAGAUUUUCAAGAAGCCACAUAACAUCAUUUUGCAGAAAUGUCACCACAAGCCUGUUUUUCCACUGAACCUAGGAUGAAUAUUUCAGAUCGUUUUUCCACUUUAAAACCAAAAAACUUUGGCCACCCAUAUGACCAAUACUCUCCCUUCCCAUUUACACAAUCACUAUCCUUUCAAAAUAAUAUCAUAAAUCCAUUUUUAAAGCAACGAUCAAUCAAAGCAGCAUCAAAUAUUUAGCUGCAUUAAACACAAAGUACACAAAUGAAGAUAUAACGUGCAGUGCUUUUCGACAUGUUGUUUUACAGACAAACUAGACUCUGAAUAAUUUACAGCAGCAAGGCCUUGACAUCCACAGGAUCCAAUUAGUUGAAAUCCACAUGCAAUCAGUCCACAGGAAAAAGGCACAACAGGGACAUCUCCAGAGAGAUGAGACACUAUUAGCAAGUUUCUAAAAUACAGAGGAGUGCAUUGCAUAAAGACAAGAGCAAACACACUGCUGCUUUAACAAAACAUGGAAUCCUUGAAAUCAGAUCAGUGGACAAAGAAUGUGAUACUCGUAUACAAAUAACUCAGACACUCAAACAAACCUCUGAUAAGACUGAGUAACAGCUGUGCUUUAAAUAGCAACAGCUAUAGUGUUAGAUAUUUUGUUUGAUAUAGUAUAACAUUUUGUAUAGCACUAUAGUGUAUUAUGAUCUGCUAAGACAUUUGCUUUUGGUUUUGUAAAAUGUAUUUUUUAAGUAAUCAGUUUAAGUAAAAUAAAUAAAAGCAUCUGGUUGUUAAAGGCAAAACUCGGACCAGCUGAAUGUUUGUCCUUCCCAAAGUUUUAAAACAACUUUCCACAAAUCAUGUGAAGAACUAUUCAGAUUGUUAAUGGUUUCCUUCAAAACAAAGAUUGUAACUAUGAAUUUGUUUCUUCUGCUGAAAACAGAUCAUUUGAAGAAUGUGUCAACUGUUUUUCUGCAGACAAUGAAAGUCAAUGGGGUCUGAUGUUGUUUUUUGUUCCACAAAGGAAUAAAAAUCCAUACAAGUUUAGUUCAACACAAGAGUAAUUAAAUUACGACAGUUUUCAUUCUUGGGUGAACUAUUGUUUAAAAGUCAUUAACACAAAAACUGUAUCACUAAUCUAAACAUUGAAGUUGGUUAUGGUGGUUACAGCCAUCACUAACAGUGGCACAUGAGAGUAAACUACUAAAACAAAACUAACAAGGCAAGUCUAGAUAGCAGAAUCCGUCCUAGACAGUUCACAAAGAGAUCCCAUACCAGAAAGUACCAAUGUGAAACUAAAAUUCCUUGUGACUUUAUCAGUCAGAUUGGGUGGUUUGCAUUACAAGCUCAAGAGAAAAAGAGCUGUUUCAGUUCUGUCUAAGGGUGGAGUUGCCACAACUGUUUGUGUGGUUUCCAGCCAAUGGCAACAAUGACUUGUUUCUAUAAUCUCAAAUGGAAGAUUUGUUAGACAUUGUGUGAUUAUGCACUACUGAAUAAAGUACCAUAAAGGGUUCUUAGCAUAGUAUAGUCAGGUUUGGUCUAGUGUGGCAUUGUUAUGGCUUGAUGUUAUGUGGUUUGGAGAGUAUUAUGUUCUAAAUGUAUUACAUGAUCUGGUUUAUCCAGGUUUGGUUUGCUAUCUAAUUUGGCCUUUCAUGGUAUCAUAUGAUCGGUCUUUGCUGCAGUACCAUCUUUCAGCAUUGCUAUGGUCUGGAAAGGUCUGGUCUUAGUUUGAUAUGAUAUGGUUGUUUAUGCUGCAAUGAGGUAAAGACACAAUUAAAGGGUUAGUUCACCCAAAAAUGAAAAUUCUGUCAGUAAUUACUCACCCUCAUGUUGUUCCACACCCGUAAGA